Molecule: non-coding RNA, 88 nt
Organism: Phyllosticta citribraziliensis
Lineage: Eukaryota; Fungi; Ascomycota; Dothideomycetes; Botryosphaeriales; Phyllostictaceae
Source: the annotation of a GenBank genome assembly
GUGUUGGUGGUGUAGUGGCAACGCAUGCCGCGGCAACAGUCGCAUCCACGGCAAGUCCCGGGUUCAAUUUCACGUCCUGGCCAACAAA